Molecule: ribosomal RNA, 468 nt
Filed under: uncultured Pelotomaculum sp.
Lineage: Bacteria; Bacillati; Bacillota; Clostridia; Eubacteriales; Desulfotomaculaceae
Description: bacterial SSU rRNA
Rfam family: Bacterial small subunit ribosomal RNA
Source: RNAcentral
GACGGGGGCCCGCACAAGCAGUGAGUAUGUGGUUUAAUUCGAAGCAACGCGAAGAACCUUACCAGGGCUUGACAUCCCUUGAAGCAGCUAGAGAUAGCUGUGUCCUUCGGGACAAGGAGACAGGUGGUGCAUGGUUGUCGUCAGCUCGUGUCGUGAGAUGUUGGGUUAAGUCCCGCAACGAGCGCAACCCCUACGUUUAGUUGCUAACGCGUGAAGGCGAGCACUCUAGACGAACUGCCGUUGACAAAACGGAGGAAGGUGGGGAUGACGUCAAAUCAUCAUGCCCCUUAUGUUCUGGGCUACACACGUGCUACAAUGGCCGGUACAGACGGACGCAAAGCCGCGAGGUGGAGCAAAUCCUAAAAAGCCGGUCUCAGUUCGGAUUGCAGGCUGCAAUUCGCCUGCAUGAAGUCGGAAUCGCUAGUAAUCGCAGGUCAGCAUACUGCGGUGAAUACGUUCCCGGGCCUU